UACGGAGGGUGCGAGCGUUGUCCGGAAUCACUGGGCGUAAAGGGCGCGUAGGCGGCCUGAUAAGUAGGGGGUGAAAUCCUGCGGCUUAACCGCAGGGCUGCCUUCUAAACUGUCAGGCUAGAGCACAGUAGAGGCAGGUGGAAUUCCCGGUGUAGCGGUGGAAUGCGUAGAGAUCGGGAAGAACAUCAGUGGCGAAGGCGGCCUGCUGGGCUGUUGCUGACGCUGAGACGCGAAAGCGUGGGGAGCGAACAGG
RNAcentral lists this ribosomal RNA (253 nucleotides) under uncultured bacterium. RNAcentral describes it as "partial 16S ribosomal RNA". It matches the Rfam family "Bacterial small subunit ribosomal RNA", at positions 524 to 776 of the family's 1533-position model. The record is from RNAcentral.